GCCAGGUCUUCUAAAAGCCAUUUAAUUCAAGUUGUAAGGGCUAGACAAUCCGAUCCUCAGGACACAGCGCAGGGAGGCCCAGAGACGGAGAUAUAGAAAUACUUCGUGACACAGCUGGGUGCCAUGGUGUACACAGGUAAAUCUAACACUAUGGGAAGCUGAGGCAGCAGGAUCAAAAGUCUGGGCACAGCAUGAGCACCUCAGCAAGACUGUCUCAAAAUAAAAAAGGGAUGGGGAUGCAGCUCAAUGUAAAGCAAAGCCCUGGAACCAAUCCUUAGUGAAGAAAAAAAAAAAAGACAGACUUUGUGACAACAGCAAUCACACACAAGGACUCCACUUUCACAGGACCUUGCCCCGCCAGGACGUCACGGGUGUUUGUGUGCAGCAUUGGCUACUGAGCAACGCAGACAGGAGGCCCAGGGCCAGGUCCCCAUGGCCAAUGGGGUGAGCUUUCCCAGGAAGGAGGGCGAGAGGGAGGUGGCCCCUCCUCAGGGAGGACAGAGCUAGGUGACAGGCAUGGUGCUGGCAAUGCUCCGCUGAGACCCUGCCUGGGACAUGGACCCUGCAAGUGGCUGGAGGCAGAACAGCCCAGCUGGGCCAGUUUUGCAUCUCAAUUCCCCCUCCAUCUCCUUGGAGAUCCCAGCAAAACCAACUGCAAUGAAAUGGGCCAGUGGAACCUUCUCAGGCCCGGAGCCAUCAUGUUCCUGCCCCCUACUUGGAAUGGGUGGCCUGGGCACGUCACUCUCUCCAAGGAACAGUGACAGGGACCAUGCUGCCGUCUCUGCCCCUACUCCCUCCACACCUCUGGCACGGGGUGAGGGGGACAGUGGGGAAGAGGUCCCAACCUCACAAACCCAGGUCUCCAGAGGGGACAAUCACAACUCAGCGGAGGGACAAGUAACAAUAACCACACCCAGCAGGGGCAGAUGGCCUUCACCUCUGCCACAGUCUGAAAACUCCCUUGGCCACACUGACUUCACGCAGAGGAGCCUAGAGCAUCGGAUAGAGUAAUUCAUCGAGCUGUGGCCCUGACUGUGACAAAAUCUCUGGACCAUGAGGCCAUGGGGCUGCCCUGAACCCGGUCCUUGUCCCCAUGCUGUGGCUAGAAAAGCCUCACUGCUGCAGGGGCCAGGGCCAGGGCCAGGAGCAAGGGGUUUUUCUCACACUACUGCCACCUGGUCCACAGCUCCUAUGGUGACAUGGAGUGGGGUGGAGGCCAUUCUGGGAUCCCACGGUAACUGUCCAGGUAGCAUACAAAGACCUGAGGGGCUGGCCGUGCAGAGACAGCACAGCCAGGGGAUGGGGGGCCAGGGCAACCUCGGUGUCCAGCUGCAGGCUUAGUCUCCUGCCUUCCCCUAUACGACGUCCUAGCAACGCUGGCCUUUGGUGCUGUAGUCACAGAGACAGCAGGGGUGGGACAGGAGACUCCCGAGGUGGGCUGGGGGACUACACAGAGGGGACUGUGACAAACAAGACCAAAAGACACAUGGAUGCUCCACAGCCACCCAUGACCCAGCCACAUCAGACACUUUCUAAAAACUCUCAUUUAAUACUGGAUGUGAUGUGUGACAUAAAAUACGUGUGCAACUCAUAUCAAACUAUACAGUCACAACGGACGACGUAAAAUACAGGGAUUUUAAACAUCUCAGGAAAUAUAUAUUCCGGAAAACAGCAACACAGAGACUGGCUUUUGCUGGCCAUGACACAGUCUCUUCUGACUGUGAAUGGGAGGGUUGGAGCCAUGGGCACCUGACAGAUCCCGGGGUCCGUGUCCUAGAGCGGCCCACGCACAGGAGGGGGUGUCCCCGUGCCAGCCACUCUCGGGCCAUGUAGAGCGUGUGCCUCGGCUCAGAUGCUUGCAUGGGUGCACAUCACCGGCGGCGCCGACUCCUUUCUUCCAGGACCUGAUUAUCAAAUAUUUGUUUUUCCCUGCAGAAAACAGAAGUUGAUAUAUCACAUGAGUGAUUAAUCAUGGAGUUUGCAAAGAGCAUGAGAGGUGGGCGUGGUGGCACACACCUGUAAUCCUGGCACUCGGGAGGCUGAGCCAGGAGGAUCCCUGAAAUUUUAAGGCUAGCCUGGGUUACAUAGUGAAACUUCUCAAAAAAAUUAAAACAGACAGACAAGAAAGAUGGUUCUGGGGCCAGGCGUGUAGCUCAGUUAUCCCAUGCCUGCCUGGCAAGGCCAAGGUCCUGAGUUUGAUUCUUGGUAUCAAAAAAAAAAAAAAAAAAGAAAGAUGGUCCUGGUUCUGGUUCUGGGCACAAUAGUGCACAUCUGUAACCCUAGCACUUGGGAAAUGAGGCAGAAAAGACUGCAAGUUUGAAGCUGGGCUGGGUUAUACAGUGAGUUUGAGGCUAGCCUGGACAACACAAGACCAGGUCUUUUAAAAAAAGGAUACAGGGGCCGGGGAACUAGCUCAGUGGUUCCAGCAGCUGCUUCACAAGCGCAAGGUCCUGAGUUCAAUCCCC
Molecule: long non-coding RNA, 2465 nt
Filed under: Heterocephalus glaber (naked mole-rat)
Lineage: Eukaryota; Metazoa; Chordata; Mammalia; Rodentia; Bathyergidae
Description: lncRNA (ENSHGLG00100038775.1)
Source: RNAcentral